This 636-nucleotide ribosomal RNA is filed under the name Triticum aestivum (bread wheat). RNAcentral's name for it is "partial small subunit ribosomal RNA". Lineage: Eukaryota; Viridiplantae; Streptophyta; Magnoliopsida; Poales; Poaceae. The record is from RNAcentral.
AUGGCGCCGCCGCCGACAGCCUCCGGGCCCGUCUACAUCCACCGCUCCCGCGGUCAAAGAGGUUGCUCUCCGAUGAGGAAGAGGAGGAGCAGUAGCAGCUACCACUCCUCACUGAGGCCGCAUGCACAUACGACGAGUUCGCCACACACAUCAAGUUGCUGCUCGAGCCAUUGCUCCAUGACCGUGGUCGGCAUCCUACCAAAUCCAACACAGUGUCAAGGAGGAGCCGCCCUCACCACAUGCAAUUGCAUCGUCCAAUGCCACGGCGGCGGCGGUUCCUCCUGCCUCGUCAGACCAAAGGCGGAGCCGGGCCUCGGCCCCGUGAAGCGCGAGCACAACGACGAGGCCGCCUUCGACGACGAGGCCGCCAUGAAGUGGGCGUGGGAGGAUUGGGCGUGGACGAAGAUGGAGCGCCAGCACCGCGCCCUGAAGGAGAUCGCCGCUCGACGUCGUGGCUGCGACGAGGGAGGCGGCGUUGUUCCCGACGACAGCGGCGACGAGGUGCCGUCGCCGGCCAAACCAAUCCGCCAGGGGGACCCCGGGCAGGGGUCGACCAGGGACGGUCGCGUGAAGGGGGAGAAGAAGGACAUCGACGGCGUCGACUUUGGCGUGUUCAGCGAGUUCUUCAGCCUGUAG